Molecule: long non-coding RNA, 8014 nt
Organism: Cavia porcellus (domestic guinea pig)
Lineage: Eukaryota; Metazoa; Chordata; Mammalia; Rodentia; Caviidae
Exons: 2
Source: RefSeq, a predicted model, not a curated record
UCAAAUACACAAACUGUCCCUUUAUCCUUGUACCAGUGAAAGGUUGUAAUGAAAGUUUGAGUAUCUUCCUAUGAUGACUUCUCGAAGUUAAACUUCUCUUCUGGCUUCUUACAAGAAGGCAAAAAAAGAAAAACAAAACAAAAACAAAACCUUGUUUUCUGCUACUUUCCUUUCCCCCAGCUGGGGAUGGGACCUAGGGCCUGCUGAACACUAGGCAGCACUCUCCUGUUAAGCUGUCUGCCAGUUGUUUUGACAAAGAUUGAAUUUCUGACACAGGGUCUCGCGCAGGUGUCCCGUGCUUGUGAUGCAUCUCAGGCUCCCCAGUCGCUGUUGAGUGCCAGAUAAUGUGGGUGCAUGCGGGUAUGUAUAUAAAAUUUACCAUCAUUAAUUCUAAUUAGUAAUAAUUAUCACUGCUUUAUCUAUGUGGCGACUGAGACGGAAAAAGGUGGAAGAAAACAGCAAGCUACAAAGUUGAGAUUUAUAUCGUCGCUCUUUUAUUUUUUCGGAAUAACUAAAGAAUUGUAUUUUUUUCUCUUUUCUACUUUAAUUAGGAGCUUUCAAAACUAUUUAACUUUGAGUGUUUUUAUACGGAAAGAAUUUUUCAAAAGUUCAUUAUUCAUGGAGUUGUAAAUAUUUCAGACCAAAGUAAAAGAUGCCUUAAUGGAAUCUUAUGAAGAAUAUACCCCAGCUUAGGACAUCAUAUAAAUUUCAUUUUUUAGCAACACAAAAGGCUAUGUUCAUUAAAGUUUUUACUGUCUUAACAAUUUCCUCUCCUCCUCCAACUAACUAGUCAUGGAUGAUAGUUUAUAGCCCCAUUUUUCAUAUUAUUGCUUACAUGAAUAAAAAUUAUAGUGACUAUUCCUAGCAAACUUGGCAAUGUUUAAACAUUUUUUAAAGCAAGGACAAUAUUGCUGUCAAAUUGGAUUUUAUAAACAGUCUUAUUUGGGAUAACAAUUUAGUUUCAGCACAGAAUUCUUUCUUUUGUCCAAAAUAGCACCAUAAACACCAGAAAUAUGUAAACCUAUAUAUAAAACAUAUAUAAAAUAUAGAAUAUCACUAAUCUUUUUCCUUUAUAUGGUAAUCAUACCAUAUAAAAAGAAAGUAUUGUUGAUGGGCCAAGUAGGAAAGUGAUUUGGGCAAAUGACCUUACUGGCUAUGUAUUAACCUUCAAACACCAGGUAAAUGUCACCUUUCACCAGGAAAGCAAUAUUAAAGAGUUCCUACAAAGCUGGGAUUUGUGUAUUUAUUCUUCAGGAAAUGCUGGCUUUUUGAUAUUUCAGCCAGUGCUGUUAGUGCUGUCCUGCAUUUAGACAGCUGCCUGAAACCCUACAGAAACAGGAGAGAGUUGGCCCCUUGAAAGGUGGUACAGGUUUUAGUUGCUUUAGGAACUGAAAGAGCACAGACAUUCUGACUUAAAAACUAGGACGUAGCUGCAUGGCAUAAACAUCCUUGUAGUCUGUUUAUCCUUCCUGGCUUCAAGGGAAUACACCUGCCAAUCAUCUCAGUGCAGUGCUAUUGUUCUCAAAGUGCGAUCCCUGGGGCCACAGUAACAACUGCAUCACGGAGAAACUGCUAAAAGUGUAAAUUCCCAGCUUCCAGGGUCUGAUUUAUGAAGGCCUCCAGGUGAUCAUGGGCCAAAGUUAAGUCCCUGAAGCAGCAGUUAGGAUAGUAAUGGUAGGCUCCAGACUUCUCAGGUUCAAAUGUAGCCCUGCUGCUUGCUGAAUAGUGUCUUAGUUUGCUGAUAUAUAAGUUUGGAGUAAAUAUGGCCCCUGUCUCAUUUUUAUCAAGAUUGAGCUAACAUAUAUGAAAUUAUUUGAACAAUGAAGAAUGCUAUUUGACAUUAGGUAUUUAUAUCUUUUCUAUUUUAUGCUUUUCUAUUUACUAAAACUCCAAAGCAAAGCCCAGUAUUUGCUUGCCCCUUGUCCAUCUGCAUCCUUGAGGCAAGAACCUGAUAUCUCUGAGGAUACAGCUGCGGCAGGCUUUGCCAGAGCAGGCUACUGGUGAGUGCAGGAAGAGCUGUAUCAGGCCAACCCAUGGAAUAGGGUGAAAGUUUUAGAACCAAAGACAUUUCACUUUGCUUUGGGAAGAACCUCUGCCAGACCUCUGCUGUGGCAGCAGGAAGCAUUUGAUAACCAAGUGCUGUGUUCCGGUGUUUCGGACUCUGCAGACGGAGAAUCCUGUGGACCUGCUCUAUCAAGCUCUUUAGCUCUUGUUUGCAAAGUGGGUGAUUAUGUAAAGAGGAUGAUCACUCAAGACACCGUGACAUUUACCUAGCUUUUGCCUCCUGACUGCACAGAACCAAGUGACUCAGACAAAAGAUUGAUGCAUUGGAGGCUGAGGCAGUCAGGAAAGGCUUCAGAGCAGAAUAUUUGGAAACAGAUUGUGAUUCAAACCACAGCCUAGGCUUGUUGGGAGGCCAGGAUGAGCAGGGAUGUUGUUUUCCUCUGGAACGUUUCAAGAAGCUGCAUUUAUACCAAAUGGCCUUUCCUCUUAAUGUCCCAGCUCAGCUGGCUUUGCAAAACUGAUUGGUCCUUUUUUUUUUUCCUUACCCUAGGUGUUAAGAGAGGGAGAUUUGGAAAAAAAAAAGGGGGUUUCUGUAUGUACUAAGUAUGAUAAAGCUAUUUUAAGGUUUAUCUGAAACAUUAAACAAUAAGUAAUAGUCCACAAACAUUUGAAAAUAAGAGUAGAGGCAUUGAGUUUGCUUUACAAGAUAUCAAUGAUUGUUAAACUACAGUAAUUAAUAUGGAGACACUAGAAAAAAUGGAAGGAGUUGCCAGGAAAAUAGAUUCUUUGAUAAAUGUAAAAUAAGUACAUAUUGAGGAAGCAAGUCCAGUCUGGGAACCAGUGCCAUGCAUGAGCCACUGGCAGACUGGGAACAGCCAGACCCCAGCCUCUUCCAGUGCACUGGCCUGCAAACAAGUAGCAGUCCCUCCAUCCCUCUUAAGUGAUCAGCUUAUCUAGAGAAACACAGGCUGUGAUGAUAGCUAUGGAGGUGAAAUGCAAUUGGAUGCCUGUGGUUUUGUGGUGUUUCACUAACAUUGUCGGUCUGUGGCCUGUGGUCUGAUCAUAGGUUCAGAGGAUAGCCGUACACAGUGUGGCAUCUAGGGGGGAAGCUCUUUCUGGGGGUUGCAGCCAUUGUUGAUUCCCUAUGAUCUUAUUUUGGAAGUCCUAUAUCGUUUUUAUUGUUUUGUUGGGUUGGGUUUUAUUCUCUUUUGUUUUGUUUGAUUAUGUUAAAUUCAAUGGCAGGAGCAGCUAUCUCAAAGAUAGCAAGAUAUUUUAUGGUAGCAUUUUGGAUUUACUAUUACGCUGUUUUGAAGUCCUUUAUUGUAUUCAUUGUCUUGUUUUUAUUGUUUCUAUUCUCUUCUGUUCUGUUUGAUCUUUAUUAUGUUUGAAGUUAUCUGCAGCUAUUUUGAAGACAUCAAAAGGCAUUAUGGUAACUAUUGUUGAUUUCAUAAUGUUUUGAAACCCUGUAUCAACAACACUGGUUUGUUUUGUUUGGCUUUAUUAUGUUUUAUCUUUUUUAAAUAAAAAAAAGUAUGUGUUAAACUCAGGGCAAAGCAAUAUGGAUAUAUCAUCAUUAUUGCAUUAUUAUUAUUAUUGGUGCUAGAACUACUUUGAAAGCUACUCAGUCAAGUUAGUUCUCACUAAAUACCAAAUGCCAAAAUAAAUUUAAGGUGCAUUGAAUGUGUGUGAAAAUGGAAUCACGUGCAAAUACUGAAGGAAAGGAAAAGUAGGUGAAUAUCUGGGCAAUUUCCCUGUCUCUAGACAGAGGAAAGACUUGAAAUUCAAAGGCAAUAUCUUUGGCACAUGGGAAAAAAAACUGUUUCCUUCCCAUGGACUGGGUUUUCUUUUGAUUUUCUUAAUAACAAAUGCAAAUCCAGUUCCAGGAACUAAGGCUAUACAAAAUGUCUUCAACCACAUCCUCAAGUUUCUAUCCAAGAAAAUGCAAGACAUGGAGCAACCUGCAGAUUUUUGGUACCCUCCUAAUGGACCCUCUCUCUGACACAGAAUUGCUUGGCUCACCCAAGAUAUGCAUGUGACACUCCUCCCCAAGCUAGUGCGGCUCCCUGGGUCUUGAGGAAUGGAAAUACAGGGCUUGAUCAUAGCAUCUUCCUCAAAAGAGAGAAAGCAGAAGCAGUUCUAGGGUCAUCAAACACGUCUCAUUUUCCUGCCAAGUACUUGGCCAAGCUUUGUUCUCUUGGCAUUGUGGCCCAUUAAAUGUGGGUGGCAGUGAUGUGGUGUCGCCCCUCCUGCAUCUGACUAUCAGCAGUCUCUGUCUUUUCCUGUUCCACGGUGACCUUGCAAGCCACAUACUGAAAGCCACAACACCAUGAGACAGCAGCUACCCGGGAACUUACAAGAGGCUGAGUGCAGGUGAGAGGCAGCCUUCACGCUCAGCGGUAGGAUCUAUGCUUUUGGAGCAGCCUGAGGUUUUGCUGAUUGUUACAAUAAUGAAAAAAGAAUGAGAAUCUUCAAGCUGCUGCCAGACAUGACACAUGCCAUUCCUACCCACAUGGCUUUGAAAACAAGUUACACAGGUAUAUCCUUUUUCAUUAGGGGAGGAUGUAAUCCUAACCCAGUGAAGGUAAGUGAACUGAACAUUGAUAUAAUUCUCUUUGUAAAUAUGCUUCCUUCCAUAUAUACUACUGCAGUGGUAAAACUGUACCCGCUUUAUCUUUACUUACAGAGUCACUCUAAUUAUUAUCAGAGAAAAUAUGUCUCUAACAAAUUUACACCAAUAUUUAGGAUGUACAUAUUUUAAGAACUCAAAUUCCCAGUAGCAAAAAAAAAACACAAUUUCACCUUCAUGGGUCCUUAAUUUGGAGACAAAGUUUAAAUCGACUUUAGUAUAACAGGAUUUCAUAUUUACUAUUUAACUGUAAGGACCAUUUAUUCUUUUUGGUCCUUUCUCUAGUUUAGAGCUAGAGAAAGAACCAUUUGCCUAGAGUAUUAAACAGCAAAAUCUAAUGCAAAUAACUUACCAAGUUCUUUUGCAAAUAAUAAAGUCUAAUAUCUUGGCACUUUAUUCAUGUUUAAAUUUAAGAGUGAGUUCCCAUACCUAUUGGUAUGUCCAUUUUCUGCACCAAGAAGUGGAGGCGCUUUCUCCCUCAAAUCUCAUGACUAGGCCAGAGUCUUAGCAAGGAGAGUUUAAAUGGGUGUCACUAUCCUUUUGAGCCCUCAGAGCCAUCGAUGGAAUUAGACGGGAAGCCAGCACAAGGGUUGGGAGAGAAAUACGAGUGACAGAAAAUGACAGGAGAAGUUGGGUGCAGAUUUAUAAAACUCUAUCUCACAGUGCCAGGCUCAUGCCAAAUUACCUCCACUGUCACCCUGAAGCACUGUGUUGAGGUUGUGCAUUGUAGCAUGAGACUCUCAUCAUAUAUUUUUUUCUCAUCAAGCCUUGUUUACUAUUGGGAAAAUGCUCCUCUCAUGCAGCAGUUCAGAAAAUCUUCUCCUUAAAUAGUUACCUCUCUGGUUUCACUUGAUAAAAGAAUGAUUUAAUUGCCUUCUAGGACAAUCACCUUGAUAGCACCUAUUCUGUAGGAGAUAAAGGGAAUUAAAUUUGAUAUAUGCAUUUGGAUUUUCAAGAGAAUGUUGAAUCUUUUCCUAGUGAUUUUUGGAGGGCUGUUGCCACACUUUAAACACCUGUAAAAUUCUAUCAACAUCCUGUUGACAGUAAACUUUGGAGGAUCAUGGUCACCAUAAUCACAUGGCCAGCAUGGAGACUCUCAUUGAAGAAGCUCAGGAAGAAGUCCAACAUUGAAUGGUUCUCCCCAAAAGAUGGACCAAUGUUCAAGGAACCACUGGCUUUCUCUCAGAAAUUUAUACCUGCUUCUCAGAAGCUGUAGUGAAGGCAGUUAAUUACCUAGUAUUUAAAGAAAAUUCAGACAUUGUGAUUUGUGAGUAUGCAAACUAUUCUGAGUUUAAAGCUUAAAAAACACCUUCAAAACACUGACUGACCAGACUUAAUAAGGAAAAAGUAUUAAUAGGUGAAAGUUGACUUACAGACAUAAUCUUAAAUACUCCACAUAUUUACAACCAGAUAGUAUUAAAUGAAUAAUACUGCCUAAAUAAUACACUUCAUGAAACAGAUAAUUCCACAUUAUCCUCUCAAACCAAUUUUUAUUUGCACUCUGGCUAACAAAUAUAAUAUGAAGGCAACAGUUUAAGUGCUCUAGUGUAUGGCACAGAUGAAACAGAUUCAGAAGCAAGCCAGCAUUUCCAGGCUGGUUUAACAAAAGAGGCACGUAUUAUCCUAUUUAGCAGUUUAUACCAGAAGACAUUUUUCCCUUUGCAAGCAACAGACUACAUUUAUUUGCAUUAAGUAAAAACAUAUCUUGAUCAAGAAAAUUACUUUUAUUCUGAUUUUCCUUUAUAUCACAAGUGUUAGGGUAAGGCAAAUCCUUAAUGAAUCAUAUGAUAAAAACCCUAUUCUCCAAGAAAAUAUAUUGGACAUAUUCUGCUAACUUUGUUAUUGUGCGAAGCACAGCCAACAUGCAUCACAUACAGAGAAACAUCUUUUCAAAUCAAAUGCGUCAAGCAGAACUGUAUUAAUUCACAAAGAGGCUUUUCAGUGUUUCAUAGAAAGGUUUACAAUUAGCUGUGGUGAUUAAUAUGUGACCCAAUAUCACAGACAGUGUUUUGGAUGCCCUCUUUUUGGCUUUUAUGAAAGAAGGCUUGUCGAUCCUCUGACUAGUGACCAGCUAGAGGAAUAGGCCCUUUGUCUCACCCCAAGUGAGUACCUUCUGAAUUAGGACUGUUAUGCUGAAGGCCUACUUUGAUCCUCUGUGUGCAAACAUGACUCACCCGGGGCUGUUUCCCUCCUUCCCUCCUGUAACCCUUCAUACUACAUACCCUGACUGAAGUAUGGUUGGAAAGUAACACCCAGAAUCCAUGUGCAAGAGAAUCAAUUAGCUUUUGAAAUGUAUUUCAUUGUAUGGCCCAGGCACUGACAACCCCAGAGAGCGCUGGCUUCCUGCACUGAGAUAUCGUCCAUCUGGCUGAUGGCUAGAUUACUAAUAUAUUACUACUGGAAUGGAAACUAGUAUUUGUUUUAAAGCAUAAAACAAGAUAGCCCAAUAGUAACCAAAAGCAUAACAAAACCAAAAUGAAGCUGCAAUCUAAUUAUAAAAUGAAGUUUAAAGAAAUUCAGGAAUGAGAUGAUAAUAUUUAUGCUUCAGUGUCUUAGUUUUCAGGAUACAGAGAUUACUUUCCUUUUUCUACCACUUUUAGACCAAGAACUUAUUCUUUUCAUUCUUUAUUUACCCACAUUUAAGAAGAAUGACUAAAAGGGCUGUCAUUGGUGAUAAGGAGAACGCCUGGACUCGGAUAAUUGUAAUUCUGGCUGUUCCUCACAGGAAUAUUGGGUGUCUUUCCUCUUAGCCCAUUAACAAAACCUCCGUCCCUCUUCCCUCCUUGUUUUAAAGUAGAACUCAUUAUAGUAGCUGAGUAACAGUAACAUUGGGAGUUGCUGGAAAACAAGUUCCUAGCAGAUUGCACUCAUCAGGUACUUCACAAGAAUGACAACUUUCAACUGAGUUAUAAAUGGCAUGAAAUGUAGAACCUGUCAAUAUUUGGAUGGCAUCAAUUCUUGGAUGCUGCAAAAUAAGGCUUGUCUUUGCUCUUCCAGAAAGCAAUGUCAAAUGUCAAUAAAGGACAUUUAUGCUUCAAACUCUAGAAUAAUAGGAAGAGAAACGGCUAUAUCCCAACUUCACAAAAUCACUUAAAUAGCAUCACUGCUGUGUUGAUGAACAGCUUUAAAAAUAUGACAUACACAGAGUUAUAAUUUGCUAAGCAUUCCAAUAUACCAACCAAACCAUCUAGGAGGGGUAAUAAAUUCAGAAAGCUGAAAAAAAAUCUUCAGAAGAUGAAAAGAUGACUUUUCCAAAGAAAGGACAAACUUAAAGAACUGGAUGGGAUAUUUAGGAAACAGACAUUCUGUCAUUUUAGAAAUACUUAUGGUGAUUUACUACUUUUCUCCUUCUAUUAAAGCCCUAAAUAGGAAGGAAGGGGGAUU